This 4834-nucleotide long non-coding RNA is filed under the name Olea europaea subsp. europaea. The record is from RNAcentral. Lineage: Eukaryota; Viridiplantae; Streptophyta; Magnoliopsida; Lamiales; Oleaceae.
CCAACGUGAAACUGACAAGGUAACUUCCAGUUUGUUCCCGUUUCUGAUCUCAAGAAUGAUGUAUUGAACUGUAGCUGUGUCAUGAUUCACAUUAUUGCCCUCCCUCUUAACCCCUGCUUCCCUGUGCCCCCUUCCACACGCACAAAAGUCACAACCAGAAAAGAAAAUAAUGAAAGAAAUGAAGGAAAAAAAGAAAGUUAAAACCGAAGUAGAAAAAAUGCAAAAUGUAACAGCUGAUAUUACUAUAAUUAUGUGCUAUCUUUUACCUGAUUUUCUCAGGUUAUGGUUAAGCGGCAGAGAACAGCUUUUCCUCCAAAUUUUGUUCAUUCUCUCAAUGGUUCUCAUAUGAUGAUGACUGCCAUUGCUUGUAAAGAGGCAGGGUUAAGUUUUGCAGGUCUAUAUCUCCUGCCAUCAGGAUGAUGAUGAUGAUGAUGAUUAUUAUUAUUAUUAUUAUUAUUUUAUUUAUUUAUUAUUAUUUUUUUAGCACCCUCUAGUUUAGGAAUGUCUAACAAUUUUUACCGCAAUUUGAUUCUAGGAGUGCAUGAUUCAUACUGGACUCAUGCAGGUGAUGUAGAUCAAAUGAACUAGAUUCUAAGAGAAAACUGAAAUGUUUGUUGAACUCUAUGAUGCACCGAUUUUGGAGAAUGUGAGUUUUUCUAAUCACAGUGCUCAAUUCAACUCCCGUCCUUGUAUGCGUAGGUCAAUGCUUUAUUUGUCUAUACCAUCCUUUUACACAUUUAUACCAUUGUUUAUUGGACUCGAAAGAAUACUGUGUGAUGGAAAUGGAUGGAGUAUAAUGUGGAAGACCCUUAAAUAUCAUUUUCCAGUCAACCAGGAAAUGAAAAACCCAGCAAUCCUUGUGUAAUAUGCUAAUAUGUGGAUCAUAUUAAACAACUUGGGUAAACCUGAUGAGGCUCAACUUAAUUGAAGUGUAGUCCUUAUUUGUCAUGGUAGGUUUCCUAGAUCCUUUCUCUCAUUCUGCGAUAUUAAGAGCCCAUCUCCAAAAGUAAAUCACACGACUCAAAUGCUUUUGAUUCUGUCAUUUCAUAUGAUUUUUUUGUCAAUUUCCUGCUAUGUUAACCAUUAAUAUUAUUCCACUUUUCAGACUAUGCAUCUAGUGACCUUUCUUGAACACAUUCAAAUUGUCGGAGUUUAAUCAUCCAUUUUAUCUUCACUAGAUGAUACCUUAACCAGCUCAUUAGUGUGCUCUUCGUAUUCAUAUAGGUCCACUGCAUAUAUUUGGUUUCUCAAUGGUCCAGCCUGUGGUUCCAUAUAACAUGGUUGUUUUUUCAGGUGCUAUAUGGAAUUCCUUUGUCAAUCACCCAACAUCAGGGGCACUCUGACUUAACCCAACAAGAAAUAAUCAUUUGAGUAAUUUCAUCAUAUAACUAAGCGAGCCUAAGACCCCGUUUGGUACACAUUAAUGUAAAAAUGAGAAUGAAAAAUAUAGUUGUUACGAGCCUCACACAAGAGAUAGAAAGCCAAAUAUGGUGGCUUGAUGUGAUGGAUAACGGUCAUAUUUUUCAUUUUAGUAAGCAAAUAAUGGGAAUCGAACAGGGGCUAAAUAUUGGAAACAAACUUUUAAAUGUUUUACGAGUUCUACCUUGUCUAUUAGUGUCAUGUACCAACAAAAUAUCAUCUGAAAAAUCAAUGAUACUGGAGCUGUUUAUCCUUGAUUCCCUCAGUAGGAAAUUUUAUUGAUGGUGACGAUUUUAUAUUUCACCUGUCUUUCUCAUUCGACUGAAGGGGAAAAAAAAUGGGUGAAGGAUUUUAGUAUUGCUUUAUUAACUCCUGAUCAGUUUCUUUGUGUAUUGUCGUACUUGCUGAUAAUUUUAGCUGGUGAGACUUUUAGUUAUUUUUGCUUUAAUACCUUGUGAUAUUAUUCCAUCUCCCUAAGCUUUUAUGUUUUAUGAUUUAAUAGGAUUUAUUACCUUACUUCAAAAUUGCUACCCUUAAAUGAAAUUACUUAUUUAGAAGAAGUAUUCUACGUUAAAAGGUGGAAAUGUCCAUUGUACCAUUUUUUUUUUUUUUUCAAUGAAUCCCUAAUGUUUGAACUUUGAAGUGUUCUGUUGUGAGGUUUUGUUUGAGACUUAUUGGGUGAUAAGUUAACGUAACCAUUGCAUCUGUUUUACAGUUGCUGGAAAGUUUUCAGCAGUCCUUCCCAAAGUUAAACUUUCCUCCAUUGCUAGAACGUGGAGACUUCGACUUGAGAGAAGUUCUGGAGUCUCCCUAUUUUUUCAACUAAAUGAACAGAUACAGCUCACUUUUCAAGGAAUCCUUACUUCUAAAUGGCCUGGUAAUGGUAGCUCCUAAUUUCUUUGAUAUUUUUUAAUACCUUUAGCCGAUCACCAACAGAAAAAAGCUAGCCCUUCUGUUAUUGGCUGCCCUUCAAUCAUCACGAGUUUUCUUUCAAACAUGUCAGAAAAGUCCAUACAAGAAGGUGUUGGGGACAAUUGAGAUUCUUCCGCAACGUCUUGACAGUUAUGACCAAUUGUUGUGGAGCCCGGAUUUUGAGAUGAGAUGAUGGUGCUCCGGUUACUUUAAUGGCUGAACGAGCAUAUCAUGCUAAUGACACGCUACGAACAUUUUGUCGGUGGUAAAAUAGAGGGAAUUAAGGUUAUUCAGUGUAUACAAUGGGGAGGGUUGAAUCAAACGACUAACAAAAAUUCAUGUACAUGCUUCUUUUCUACACUUGUCCAGGUGCAUAACUGAUCCCAAAGGGUUGAGUUAUAAAGAACUGGAAACUCACUGGAGAGGGCCAAAUUGAUGUUAACUUGACACUUGUAUUGCCGUGGUUAGCUCGACUCACCUUUGUAUAAUACAAAAGGCGAUGCAUGUAGUUCUAGAGACAUUUUUUGGAUGCUAUUUCUUCUCUCUUUUUUCUCAAAGCUUUGUAUUAAUAAAAGGAUUAUUCUAUUUGUACCUAAAAAACAUACAAAAGGGUAUACAGUCAGCUGAGGUGGCGAUUUUUACUGACAAAAUUAUUGACCCAAUAACUCGUGAGAAAUUGGAAACUUUAAUUUGAAAUCAAACCUACACCUACCAAAACCCAUCCCAAAAGACUGCCUCUCUCUUCUCUCUCGCGACACACCCAUCCCAUAUUGGAGAUCUCUCCGGCGACUCCAGGUUCGGCGACCCCAGGUGCGGCGACUCGAGGUCCGACGACUCCAGAUCCGAUAAUGUCCCUUCAUUUUUACAGAUCUUCAAAUUUGGGUGUGUUUUGGUAUUGUGACUGUUUUAUUCUUCUGAAUUAUGAAGGAAACUGACUUCUUCUCGAUGAGGACUAGUAAUGUCUCUUUAUUUAUGCUAUUACAUUAUAAAUAAUUUCAAUGUGAAGUAAAAAUAAAUUAACUGCCUGCAAAAUAAAUUUGGAGUAAAAUCAAUUAAGUCUCGGAAUGUUUACAGGCUUCCAUAUUGUAGAAUGACUUCGUUUCUAUUGGGGCUUGUCUUCUUCAGGGGUUAAGGAUUUGGACGGGGUUGAAUAAUCCAGCUUUGUAAAUGCCUCCUAGUGGGAACUCUAGCGUUUAUCGGAGUUGAUUUUCAACAACCAGUUUUCUAUAUCAAAUGAUUAUCAUCAACUGUGAGAAAAAUAAUAAUAGACGGUAAUGUCCCUUCAUUUGAAGCAAAAUGUCGUCAAAUUUGCUUAAUAAACAGGUAUUGUGACGAUGGUAGCAAGUAUAAUUUAAGUAGUAAAAGAUUUAUUUAUAGCAAGUAUGAGUAACUCUUAUUUGCAAAUGGGAUAACAGAGAUCACUCGUCAGACCUUAGAAGAAAACAGAAAACUUGAUAUAUAUUCUCUGAUGAACACACAUCUAAGGAUUACAUUACAUUUCAUGCAUUUGCUAGUAGCAGUAGAUGGAAAUUGCAUUACCAGUGGUGGAUCCACGAUUUGAACUCAUUGGGCAUCUAAUUUAAUUUCGGAUUUAUAUUUUUUAUGAUGUUAUUUUUUUUUUUUUUUUUUUUUGCCAAUUCGAACAUUAUUAUGAUGUGAUUUUUUUUUUUCUUAUAUUAGAAUUCUUCAAUGGCCGGAAGAAAUAAGGGGAUAUGUCAUUCAUGUAGACGGGCAGGAUACAUGUUGCCAGAUUGCCCCGGAAAGAGAAGAUGUCCAAACUGUGGCCAAGGCUAUGUUAAAUGGAUGGAGGUGGAAAAGCAAAGCGAUAACAAAGGGCGUUUGUUCCAUUGUUGUACCCGUGAUAUCUGUCGAUUUUUCGAUUGGAAUAAAUCUCCUCCUGCCGCAGUAUAUCCCUUGCAAGGUGAAGGUCAAUCGAGCGGCGCCUCCAAUGGUAGUGAAAUCGUUGAUGAUUUGUCACGUAUGUUGGAAACGUGUGCUAACAUAGCCAAGAAAAAAGACAUUGAGAUCUCUCUCAACAUCAUAACAAUUCAUAAGGGAAAACGGGAUUCGGAAGAUGUUCUAUGAACUUGGAUUUAAUGGGAUGGUUUAGGAAUAUUUAAUCUUCGGUGUGAUGCGUUAACUAUUGAUUUUGUAAAAAUUUGAAGACAACUUGGAUCCAUGAAUUUCAGUCGGUUUUAAAUUUCCUUUUAUGAGCAUUAUGUUUAGGACAUGUUUUACUAAUGUGCUGUUGAGUUUAAAUGUUAAUGUGAAUGGAGUGUGUUUGGUGCUAUACAUGUUUGGUGUUAAACAUGAAUCAAGUUAUAGUUUAAACAAUCACUUUUAUAUCCUCUUAAAAUCAAUAAUUUUCACCUGUCUAUUUGCCUAUUUAUCCAUUCUGUCAACAUGUAGUAGUAAUUCCGUGUAUGUUACUUCCUAGAAUCGAUGGAAGAAUAAUAGUCAGUUGUAUUUGGAUACAAGUUUCUAAGGCUUGUCUUAAUUCUUG